This 58-nucleotide transfer RNA is filed under the name Cyrtodactylus intermedius. RNAcentral's name for it is "tRNA-Cys". The record is from RNAcentral. Lineage: Eukaryota; Metazoa; Chordata; Lepidosauria; Squamata; Gekkonidae.
GGAGACGCACCCUAAAAGGUGCCGGGGCUUCUCCCGUUUUAAGAGAGACGGGAGAAGG